AGACAGUACAGUGUAGUUCCUUGAGAGAUGGCAUCAGAGUUGGAAAGAACUGGGUUCAAGACUCACUCUGGCGUGUAUCAGCAGUAUGAUUCUGGGAUCAAAAGGAGCUCUGAAUUCCAGCUGACCUUCCACAGAGAAGCGAUUUACUGCCAAGUGAUCUGCCUAAUCAUUGGUGAGGCUCUUGUGAAACUCACCAUAUUCCUCUUGGCUGAUGUCAUCAAGGUUAUGUGUCCAGAUGGGCUUGGUCUUUUUCAGCUCUUCCUGAUCAACAUAUUUCUCUUCAGUCUUCUUGGUUUUCUUCUUAGCCUUGCCUCCAUCUUCUUCAUCAGAUCCUACAUCUUCAAUGUGGGGUUUCUCCUCAUCUUUAGCGGGCACUUCCUCUUUGUCUUCCUCCAUCACAUCAUCACUUAUUUCCUUCUCUUGUUCUUUCUCCAAAUAAAGUGUGAUGGGAUAGCCAAUGAACUGAGAGUGCUUCUUCUUCUUCUUCUUCUUUUUUUUGAAGGGAGAUCCUUUAUUGGUGGAUCUUUCAAUUUUUUAAAAUUUAUUUUUAGUUUUCAA
This 558-nucleotide long non-coding RNA is filed under the name Phascolarctos cinereus (koala). Its description in RNAcentral is "lncRNA (ENSPCIG00000033848.1)". The record is from RNAcentral. Lineage: Eukaryota; Metazoa; Chordata; Mammalia; Diprotodontia; Phascolarctidae.